RNAcentral lists this ribosomal RNA (502 nucleotides) under uncultured bacterium. RNAcentral describes it as "partial 16S ribosomal RNA". It matches the Rfam family "Bacterial small subunit ribosomal RNA", at positions 29 to 523 of the family's 1533-position model. The record is from RNAcentral.
AUUGAACGCUGGCGGUAUGCCUUACACAUGCAAGUCGGACGGCAGCACGGGAGCAAUCCUGGUGGCGAGUGGCGAACGGGUGAGUAACAUAUCGGAACGUGCCCAAUCGUGGGGGAUAACGCAGCGAAAGCUGUGCUAAUACCGCAUACGAUCUGCGGAUGAAAGCGGGGGCCUCGCGAGAGCCUCGCGCGAAGGGAGCGGCCGAUAUCAGAUUAGCUAGUUGGUGGGGUAAAAGCCCACCAAGGCGACGAUCUGUAGCUGGUCUGAGAGGACGACCAGCCACACUGGGACUGAGACACGGCCCAGACUCCUACGGGAGGCAGCAGUGGGGAAUUUUGGACAAUGGGCGCAAGCCUGAUCCAGCAAUGCCGCGUGCAGGAAGAAGGCCUUCGGGUUGUAAACUGCUUUUGUACGGAACGAAAAGGUUUGGGUUAAUACCCUGGGCCGAUGACGGUACCGUAAGAAUAAGCACCGGCUAACUACGUGCCAGCCGCCGCCGUAA